UACGAAGGGGGCUAGCGUUGCUCGGAAUCACUGGGCGUAAAGCGCGCGUAGGCGGCUUCUUAAGUCAGGGGUGAAAUCCUGGAGCUCAACUCCAGAACUGCCUUUGAUACUGAGGAGCUUGAGUCCGGGAGAGGUGAGUGGAACUGCGAGUGUAGAGGUGAAAUUCGUAGAUAUUCGCAAGAACACCAGUGGCGAAGGCGGCUCACUGGCCCGGUACUGACGCUGAGGUGCGAAAGCGUGGGGAGCAAACAGG
Molecule: ribosomal RNA, 253 nt
Filed under: uncultured bacterium
Lineage: Bacteria
Description: partial 16S ribosomal RNA
Rfam family: Bacterial small subunit ribosomal RNA
Source: RNAcentral